CCCCUGUGAACAUACCACUUGUUGCCUCGGCGGAUCAGCCCGCUCCCGGUAAAACGGGACGGCCCGCCAGAGGACCCCUAAAACUCUGUUUCUAUAUGUAACUUCUGAGUAAAACCAUAAAUAAAUCAAAACUUUCAACAACGGAUCUCUUGGUUCUGGCAUCGAUGAAGAACGCAGCAAAAUGCGAUAAGUAAUGUGAAUUGCAGAAUUCAGUGAAUCAUCGAAUCUUUGAACGCACAUUGCGCCCGCCAGUAUUCUGGCGGGCAUGCCUGUUCGAGCGUCAUUUCAACCCUCAAGCACAGCUUGGUGUUGGGACUCGCGUUAAUUCGCGUUCCUCAAAUUGAUUGGCGGUCACGUCGAGCUUCCAUAGCGUAGUAGUAAAACCCUCGUUACUGGUAAUCGUCGCGGCCACGCCGUUAAACCCCAACUUCUGAAUGUUGACCUCGGAUCAGGUAGGAAUACCCGCUGAACUUAAGCAUAUCAAUAAGCGGAGGAAAUCAU
Molecule: ribosomal RNA, 501 nt
Filed under: Fusarium oxysporum
Lineage: Eukaryota; Fungi; Ascomycota; Sordariomycetes; Hypocreales; Nectriaceae
Description: eukaryotic LSU rRNA
Rfam family: 5.8S ribosomal RNA (bases 130-283)
Source: RNAcentral